GGGUGCGCUUAUACAAGCACUAAUGCACCGUAUCCCAUCAGAACACUGCAGGUAAGAGUGCUUGCGGGAGAGUAGUACUCGGAUGGGUGACCUCCUGGGAAGUCCACGUGUUGCACCCC
RNAcentral lists this ribosomal RNA (119 nucleotides) under Gossypium raimondii (Peruvian cotton). Lineage: Eukaryota; Viridiplantae; Streptophyta; Magnoliopsida; Malvales; Malvaceae. The record is from RNAcentral.